ACCAUACUUAUUAUUGUUCAUGUAAUUAUUGAAAAUGAAAUUUGAUCAUUCUCAGUCUUUGUAGUAUAGAGGUAAUCUUAUGACAAGUAAUAAUGAUGCCUGACUUGUAUGUCUUCUUUGCAGCCUGGUAAUAAUCAGCAUUCUACACCUAGUCCAACCAUAGCUGUUGCCAUGGGAGGAGGUCCAUUACCCUCAGGUGGAACAGUAGUGUAGCCUCAAUGAGUGGUAUUAAGUACUGCAAACUCCUGGACAACUGCUACAAAAUUGUGGCCAUCCCAGCCUCCUGUUUGAGGAGCCUCGCAUAGUGUGGGAACAACUGGUAUAGAACAUGUGGCAGGCACCUGAUACACACCUAAUACACAUAAGUUGUUGAACUACAGUCUAGAAAAAGGAUGAUGUUUUAUGGUAUUGUAAAUUUUAUUAUUUACUACUGUAUUACCCAGAUAUAUAUUAAAAAGGAUUUUCACCCUAACAUUGUCCUGGAAUUCUUCAAAUCUGAAUGUGAUAAUAAAUGUACAAUACUGUCUUAUCCAUCAGUUGACAUGAUUAGGUCAGUUGCAAAUGCUAUCACAGGAAGAGCAGUAUUCUUAGCAAAUGGAAAACUAAGAAUGUCUAGCGAAAAACUUUCUUUGGAACUGUUUUUUCUAAUGACAAGCUGUGGUUAAAAGGAGUUGUUGUGAUUGCCUAUGAUUUGCGGCUUAAAUGGAAGGGCACAUAUGUAUUAUACUUGUAAGGGUUAUACAAUGCUUCUUCAUAUUUCUGUGUAUAUAGUCUUGCUUUAAAUAGGUGUACAGUCAAGUUUCCUUUGUAAAUCAAUUGAGUGAUAAAUUAUGAAUAAUAUUAUUAACUACUAUUCAAAGACUAUUUCUCUGUAUCAUAUAUUUGGAUAGACAAAUAAAUUGUUGAGAAUUUAUA
Penaeus chinensis is the source of this 915-nucleotide long non-coding RNA. RefSeq lists it as uncharacterized. NCBI's taxonomy places the organism in Eukaryota, Metazoa, Arthropoda, Malacostraca, Decapoda, Penaeidae. The record is from RefSeq and is a predicted model, not a curated record. The transcript has 2 exons.